RNAcentral lists this ribosomal RNA (2898 nucleotides) under Pectobacterium versatile. Its description in RNAcentral is "23S ribosomal RNA". It matches the Rfam family "Bacterial large subunit ribosomal RNA". Lineage: Bacteria; Pseudomonadati; Pseudomonadota; Gammaproteobacteria; Enterobacterales; Pectobacteriaceae. The record is from RNAcentral.
GGUUAAGCGACUAAGCGUACACGGUGGAUGCCUAGGCAGUCAGAGGCGAUGAAGGGCGUGCUAAUCUGCGAUAAGCGUCGGUAAGCUGAUAUGAAGCGUUAUACCCGACGAUACCCGAAUGGGGAAACCCAGUGUGUUUCGACACACUAUCAUUACGUGAAUACAUAGCGUAAUGAGGCGAACCGGGGAACUGAAACAUCUCAGUACCCCGAGGAAAAGAAAUCAACCGAGAUUCCCCUAGUAGCGGCGAGCGAACGGGAGGAGCCCAGAACCUGAAUCAGUUUGUGUGUUAGUGGAAGCGUCGGGAAAGUCGCACAGUAAAGGGUGAUAGUCCCGUACACAAAAAUGCACAGAUUGUGAGUUCGAUGAGUAGGGCGGGACACGUGACAUCCUGUCUGAAUAUGGGGGACCAUCCUCCAAGGCUAAAUACUCCUGACUGACCGAUAGUGAACCAGUACCGUGAGGGAAAGGCGAAAAGAACCCCGGCGAGGGGAGUGAAAUAGAACCUGAAACCGUGUACGUACAAGCAGUGGGAGCCUUGAUUAAUCAGGGUGACUGCGUACCUUUGUAUAAUGGGUCAGCGACUUAUAUUCUGUAGCAAGGUUAACCGUAUAGGGAGCCGCAGGAAACCGAGUCUUAACUGGGCGUUAAGUUGCAGGGUAUAGACCCGAAACCCGGUGAUCUAGCCAUGGGCAGGUUGAAGGUUGGGUAACACUAACUGGAGGACCGAACCGACUAAUGUUGAAAAAUUAGCGGAUGACUUGUGGCUGGGGGUGAAAGGCCAAUCAAACCGGGAGAUAGCUGGUUCUCCCGAAAGCUAUUUAGGUAGCGCCUCGUGAAUUCAUCUUCGGGGUAGAGCACUGUUUCGGCUAGGGGGUCAUCCCGACUUACCAACCCGAUGCAAACUACGAAUACCGAAGAAUGUUAUCACGGGAGACACACGGCGGGUGCUAACGUUCGUCGUGAAGAGGAAACAACCCAGACCGCCAGCUAAGGUCCCAAAGUCAUGGUUAAGUGGGAAACGAUGUGGGAAGGCACAGACAGCCAGGAUGUUGGCUUAGAAGCAGCCAUCAUUUAAAGAAAGCGUAAUAGCUCACUGGUCGAGUCGGCCUGCGCGGAAGAUGUAACGGGGCUAAACCAUGCACCGAAGCUGCGGCAGCGACACUCAGGUGUUGUUGGGUAGGGAGCGUUCUGUAAGCCGUCGAAGGUGGCCUGUGAGGGUUGCUGGAGGUAUCAGAAGUGCGAAUGCUGACAUAAGUAACGAUAAUGCGGGUGAAAACCCGCACGCCGGAAGACCAAGGGUUCCUGUCCAACGUUAAUCGGGGCAGGGUGAGUCGACCCCUAAGGCGAGGCUGAAAAGCGUAGUCGAUGGGAAACAGGUUAAUAUUCCUGUACUCGGUGUUACUGCGAAGGGGGACGGAGAAAGCUAGGUUAUCCGGGCGACGGUUGUCCCGGUUUAAGCGUGAAGGUGGAUGACUUUGGUAAAUCCGGGUCGUCAUUAACACUGAGGCGUGAUGACGAGUCACUACGGUGAUGAAGUAACCAAUGCUACGCUUCCAGGAAAAGCCUCUAAGCUCCAGGUAACAUCAAAUCGUACCCCAAACCGACACAGGUGGUCAGGUAGAGAAUACUCAGGCGCUUGAGAGAACUCGGGUGAAGGAACUAGGCAAAAUGGUGCCGUAACUUCGGGAGAAGGCACGCUGAUGGUAGGUGAAGUGACUUGCUCACGGAGCUGAAAUCAGUCGAAGAUACCAGCUGGCUGCAACUGUUUAAUAAAAACACAGCACUGUGCAAACACGAAAGUGGACGUAUACGGUGUGACGCCUGCCCGGUGCCGGAAGGUUAAUUGAUGGGGUCAGCCGCAAGGCGAAGCUCUUGAUCGAAGCCCCGGUAAACGGCGGCCGUAACUAUAACGGUCCUAAGGUAGCGAAAUUCCUUGUCGGGUAAGUUCCGACCUGCACGAAUGGCGUAAUGAUGGCCAGGCUGUCUCCACCCGAGACUCAGUGAAAUUGAACUCGCUGUGAAGAUGCAGUGUACCCGCGGCAAGACGGAAAGACCCCGUGAACCUUUACUAUAGCUUGACACUGAACCUUGAGCCUUGAUGUGUAGGAUAGGUGGGAGGCUUUGAAGCGUGGACGCCAGUCUGCGUGGAGCCAACCUUGAAAUACCACCCUUUAAUGUUUGAUGUUCUAACGUGGGCCCGUGAUCCGGGUUGCGGACAGUGUCUGGUGGGUAGUUUGACUGGGGCGGUCUCCUCCCAAAGCGUAACGGAGGAGCACGAAGGUUAGCUAAUCCUGGUCGGACAUCAGGAGGUUAGUGCAAAGGCAUAAGCUAGCUUGACUGCGAGAGUGACAGCUCGAGCAGGUGCGAAAGCAGGUCUUAGUGAUCCGGUGGUUCUGAAUGGAAGGGCCAUCGCUCAACGGAUAAAAGGUACUCCGGGGAUAACAGGCUGAUACCGCCCAAGAGUUCAUAUCGACGGCGGUGUUUGGCACCUCGAUGUCGGCUCAUCACAUCCUGGGGCUGAAGUAGGUCCCAAGGGUAUGGCUGUUCGCCAUUUAAAGUGGUACGCGAGCUGGGUUUAGAACGUCGUGAGACAGUUCGGUCCCUAUCUGCCGUGGGCGUUGGAAGAUUGAGAGGGGUUGCUCCUAGUACGAGAGGACCGGAGUGAACGCACCACUGGUGUUCGGGUUGUGAUGCCAAUUGCAUUGCCCGGUAGCUAAGUGCGGAAGAGAUAACCGCUGAAAGCAUCUAAGCGGGAAACUUGCCUCGAGAUGAGUCUUCCCUGGGUACUUGAUACCCCUGAAGGGCCGUUGAAGACUACGACGUAGAUAGGCUGGGUGUGUAAGCGUAGCGAUACGUUGAGCUAACCAGUACUAAUGACCCGAGAGGCUUAACCUU